This 746-nucleotide ribosomal RNA is filed under the name Enterobacter hormaechei. Its description in RNAcentral is "partial 23S ribosomal RNA". It matches the Rfam family "Bacterial large subunit ribosomal RNA", at positions 2203 to 2925 of the family's 2925-position model. The record is from RNAcentral. Lineage: Bacteria; Pseudomonadati; Pseudomonadota; Gammaproteobacteria; Enterobacterales; Enterobacteriaceae.
CCCUUUAAUGGCUGGUGUUCUAACGUAGACCCGUGAUCCGGGUUGCGGACAGUGUCUGGUGGGUAGUUUGACUGGGGCGGUCUCCUCCCAAAGAGUAACGGAGGAGCACGAAGGUUGGCUAAUCCUGGUCGGACAUCAGGAGGUUAGUGCAAUGGCAUAAGCCAGCUUGACUGCGAGCGUGACGGCGCGAGCAGGUGCGAAAGCAGGUCAUAGUGAUCCGGUGGUUCUGAAUGGAAGGGCCAUCGCUCAACGGAUAAAAGGUACUCCGGGGAUAACAGGCUGAUACCGCCCAAGAGUUCAUAUCGACGGCGGUGUUUGGCACCUCGAUGUCGGCUCAUCACAUCCUGGGGCUGAAGUAGGUCCCAAGGGUAUGGCUGUUCGCCAUUUAAAGUGGUACGCGAGCUGGGUUUAGAACGUCGUGAGACAGUUCGGUCCCUAUCUGCCGUGGGCGCUGGAGAAUUGAGGGGGGCUGCUCCUAGUACGAGAGGACCGGAGUGGACGCAUCACUGGUGUUCGGGUUGUCAUGCCAAUGGCACUGCCCGGUAGCUAAAUGCGGAAGAGAUAAGUGCUGAAAGCAUCUAAGCACGAAACUUGCCCCGAGAUGAGUUCUCCCUGAGACUUUAAGUCUCCUGAAGGAACGUUGAAGACGACGACGUUGAUAGGUCGGGUGUGUAAGCGCAGCGAUGCGUUGAGCUAACCGAUACUAAUGAACCGUGAGGCUUAACCUUACAACGCCGAAGGUGUUU